AGAACAACUCUCGGCAACGGAUAUCUCGGCUCUCGCAUCGAUGAAGAACGUAGUGAAAAGCGAUACUUGGUGUGAAUUGCAGAAUCCCGUGAACCAUCGAGUCUUUGAACGCAAGUUGCGCCCGAAGCCUUCUGGCCGAGGGCACGUCUGUCUGGGCGUCACGC
Molecule: ribosomal RNA, 164 nt
Filed under: Rheum coreanum
Lineage: Eukaryota; Viridiplantae; Streptophyta; Magnoliopsida; Caryophyllales; Polygonaceae
Description: 5.8S ribosomal RNA
Rfam family: 5.8S ribosomal RNA
About the family: 5.8S ribosomal RNA (5.8S rRNA) is a component of the large subunit of the eukaryotic ribosome.
Source: RNAcentral